RNAcentral lists this ribosomal RNA (468 nucleotides) under uncultured bacterium. RNAcentral describes it as "partial 16S ribosomal RNA". It matches the Rfam family "Bacterial small subunit ribosomal RNA", at positions 28 to 507 of the family's 1533-position model. The record is from RNAcentral.
GACGAACGCUGGCGGCAUGCUUAACACAUGCAAGUCGAACGGAAAGGCCCUGCUUUUGUGGGGUGCUCGAGUGGCGAACGGGUGAGUAACACGUGAGUAACCUGCCCUUGACUUUGGGAUAACUUCAGGAAACUGGGGCUAAUACCGGAUAGGAGCUCCUGCUGCAUGGUGGGGGUUGGAAAGUUUCGGCGGUUGGGGAUGGACUCGCGGCUUAUCAGCUUGUUGGUGGGGUAGUGGCUUACCAAGGCUUUGACGGGUAGCCGGCCUGAGAGGGUGACCGGCCACAUUGGGACUGAGAUACGGCCCAGACUCCUACGGGAGACAGCAGUGGGGAAUAUUGCACAAUGGGCGGAAGCCUGAUGCAGCAACGCCGCGUGCGGGAUGACGGCCUUCGGGUUGUAAACCGCUUUCGCCUGUGACGAAGCGUGAGUGACGGUAAUGGGUAAAGAAGCACCGGCUAACUACGUG